Long non-coding RNA from Acyrthosiphon pisum (pea aphid), 1121 nucleotides. RefSeq lists it as uncharacterized. Lineage: Eukaryota; Metazoa; Arthropoda; Insecta; Hemiptera; Aphididae. The record is from RefSeq and is a predicted model, not a curated record. The transcript has 3 exons.
UUGCACUAAAUGAGUUAAUAUAUAUUUGAAAACCAAAUUCCGUACUACGAUACAUUUCAAUGUAGGAAAGUUUUAUGAAAUCUUACCCUGUGUAAAAACUAAAAUCGCAGGUACGUAACACUCUGUGUUAAACCACGUGGUGAUAUCUACUAAUUUUACAAAACGUCUAAUGAAUGUGCAAUAUAUUAUUAUAUUUAAUUUGUAGUCACGUUAUUCAGUUUUGACAUAAUAUUUUUCGCUACUUUAGAAAAGGCGUUUAUCAUAAUUAAAAUAUACAAUAACUAUUGGAUUUAUUGAUAAAAAAUUAUUUAUUAAUAGGUACCUAAAAUACCUAAGGUUAAAAUGCAGGUACAAGUGAUACAGAGUUUUCUUGGUCUAAAUAUGACGAAUUAUACUCAUUGAAAAAAAGCAAUAAUUGGAGGUUUUGGUUCUAUCGAUAAUGAGUACAGUUCAAAGCCUGAAAGAUUGUCGGAUGCUGGAAAUUAUACGUGCGUGGUGAAAAACAAAUACGGUUCAAUCCAAUACCAAUUCGCUGUAGGUGUUUACGAUGAUGAAAACAAAAAACCUCUUUCUUUCGAAUAUCCUCGAGAUUUGUCAUUAAAGUCGGGAGACAGCUACGGCAAUGUUUUUUUUGUCAUGCUUUUUAUUACGGCAAUAAAGAAAUCGAUUGGUACUUUUUGAAUAGUACAAACCCAAUGAACAUAGACAUAGAAACCGUGGAUCUUUCACAAUUUAAAAAAAUGGACAAUGACGUGACAUUGUUAAGUGGCAAGUUGAUAAUCGAACCUGUGACAAUCCAUGAUGCUGGAUGGUAUAUUUGUGUUCAAAAAUAUUAUUCUAAUAAUUUCAAAGAUUUGAAAGCUCUUAAAUGGCCGAAGCCCAAUUGAGAGUGGACAAACGUUUGAGUUUUACUACAAUCAUAAUUAUUUAUAAAUUAUAACAUUUGAUAACACUAAGAUAUUAAUAUCGUAUAAUCUUAGUUGAACAUGGUACAAUUUCAAUUUUGAAACUAUUUGAAAAAAGAUUUACGACUAUUACUUAAGAAUUAGGUAAAACUAACUUAAACUGCAGAAUACGCAAAUAAUUAUACAACACGAGUUUUCAACUUUGUUCUUUUUAUA